UAGAGUUUGAUCCUGGCUCAGGAUGAACGCUGGCGGCGUGCCUAAUACAUGCAAGUCGAGCGAACAGAUAAGGAGCUUGCUCCUUUGAAGUUAGCGGCGGACGGGUGAGUAACACGUGGGUAACCUACCUAUAAGACUGGGAUAACUUCGGGAAACCGGAGCUAAUACCGGAUAACAUUUAGAACCGCAUGGUUCUAAAGUGAAAGAUGGUUUUGCUAUNACUUAUAGAUGGACCCGCGCCGUAUUAGCUAGUUGGUAAGGUAACGGCUUACCAAGGCGACGAUACGUAGCCGACCUGAGAGGGUGAUCGGCCACACUGGAACUGAGACACGGUCCAGACUCCUACGGGAGGCAGCAGUAGGGAAUCUUCCGCAAUGGGCGAAAGCCUGACGGAGCAACGCCGCGUGAGUGAUGAAGGGUUUCGGCUCGUAAAACUCUGUUAUUAGGGAAGAACAAAUGUGUAAGUAACUGUGCACAUNCUUGACGGUACCUAACAGAAAGCCACGGNCUAACAAC
Molecule: ribosomal RNA, 516 nt
Filed under: Staphylococcus xylosus
Lineage: Bacteria; Bacillati; Bacillota; Bacilli; Caryophanales; Staphylococcaceae
Description: bacterial SSU rRNA
Rfam family: Bacterial small subunit ribosomal RNA
Source: RNAcentral